Molecule: small nucleolar RNA, 98 nt
Filed under: Arabidopsis lyrata subsp. lyrata
Lineage: Eukaryota; Viridiplantae; Streptophyta; Magnoliopsida; Brassicales; Brassicaceae
Description: Plant small nucleolar RNA R71
Rfam family: Plant small nucleolar RNA R71
About the family: R71 is a member of the C/D box family of snoRNAs containing the C (UGAUGA) and D (CUGA) box motifs.
Source: Rfam by way of RNAcentral
AAACCGUGAUGUGGACAUUGUGUAGUGUAGCCUUCCCGGGCCUCACAAAAGGAUUCAAACUGUUUCUGGGUGAAACUGGAGAUUUCAUUCCUUAGCCU